CCCCAGAUGUUGCUGAACUACAACUCCCAUGACAGAUAGCCAGGGAAUCAUGGGAGUUGUAGUUCAGCAACAUCUGGGG
Pelobates cultripes (western spadefoot toad) is the source of this 79-nucleotide non-coding RNA. Lineage: Eukaryota; Metazoa; Chordata; Amphibia; Anura; Pelobatidae. The record is from the annotation of a GenBank genome assembly.